This 406-nucleotide ribosomal RNA is filed under the name uncultured bacterium. Its description in RNAcentral is "partial 16S ribosomal RNA". It matches the Rfam family "Bacterial small subunit ribosomal RNA", at positions 30 to 526 of the family's 1533-position model. The record is from RNAcentral.
AUUGAACGCUGGCGGCAGGCCUAACACAUGCAAGUCGAACGCGUGGCGGAGGGGUGUGUAAUGUCUGGGAAACUGCCUGAGGGUGGGGGAACACUUCGGGAAACGGUCGAUAAUCCCGCAUAAUAUCAGGUGUGCCCAGGGGGGAUUAGCUAGUUGGUGGGGUAACGGCUCACCAAGGCGACGCUCCCUAGCUGGUCUGAGAGGAUGACCAGCCACACUGGAACUGAGACACGGUCCAGACUCCUACGGGAGGCAGCAGUGGGGAAUAUGGCACAAUGGGCGCAAGCCUGAUGCAGCCAUGCCGCGUGUAUGAAGAAGGCCUUCGGGUUGUAAAGUACUUUCAGCGGGGAGGCGUUACCCGCAGAAGAAGCACCGGCUAACUCCGUGCCAGCAGCCGCGGUAAUAC